Molecule: ribosomal RNA, 548 nt
Filed under: Agromyces binzhouensis
Lineage: Bacteria; Bacillati; Actinomycetota; Actinomycetes; Micrococcales; Microbacteriaceae
Description: bacterial SSU rRNA
Rfam family: Bacterial small subunit ribosomal RNA
Source: RNAcentral
AGUAACCUGCCCUGGACUCUGGGAUAACCCCGAGAUAUCGGAGCUAAUACCGGAUAGGACCUUGGAUUGCAUGAUUCCUGGUGGAAAGUUUUUCGGUUUGGGAUGGACUCUCGGCCUAUCAGCUUGUUGGUGAGGUAAUGGCUCACCAAGGCGUCGACGGGUAGCCGGCCUGAGAGGGUGACCGGCCACACUGGGACUGAGACACGGCCCAGACUCCUACGGGAGGCAGCAGUGGGGAAUAUUGCACAAUGGUCGCAAGCCUGAUGCAGCACCGCCGCGUGUGGGAUGACGGCCUUCGGGUUGUAAACCGCUUUUAGUAAGGAAGAAGGGGAGCUUGCUCCUUGACGGUACUUGCAGAAAAAGGACCGGCUAACUACGUGCCAGCAGCCGCGGUAAUACCUAGGGUCCGAGCGUUGUCAGGAAUUAUUGGGCGUAAAGAGCUCGUAGGCGGUUUGUCGCGUCUGCUGUGAAAUCCCGGGGCUCAACUCCGGGCCUGCUUUGGGUACGGCCAAACUUGACUGGUGUAGGGUAGACUGGAAUUCCUGGUG